RNAcentral lists this ribosomal RNA (440 nucleotides) under uncultured bacterium. RNAcentral's name for it is "partial 16S ribosomal RNA". It matches the Rfam family "Bacterial small subunit ribosomal RNA", at positions 338 to 795 of the family's 1533-position model. The record is from RNAcentral.
CCUCCGGGUGGCAGCAGUGAGGAAUAUUGGUCAAUGGACGCAAGUCUGAACCAGCCAUGCCGCGUGAAGGAAGAAGUAUUUCGGUAUGUAAACUUCUAUCAGCAGGGAAGAAAAUGACGGUACCUGACUAAGAAGCCCCGGCUAACUACGUGCCAGCAGCCGCGGUAAUACGUAGGGGGCAAGCGUUAUCCGGAUUUACUGGGUGUAAAGGGAGCGUAGGCGGCGAUGCAAGUCAGAAGUGAAAGCCCGGGGCUCAACUCCGGGACUGCUUUUGAAACUGUGUUGCUAGAUUGCAGGAGAGGUAAGUGGAAUUCCUAGUGUAGCGGUGAAAUGCGUAGAUAUUAGGAGGAACACCAGUGGCGAAGGCGGCUUACUGGACUGUAAAUGACGCUGAGGCUCGAAAGCGUGGGGAGCAAACAGGAUUAGAUACCCGUGUAGUC